CCACCUCCCACCCGUGUUUACUGUACCUUAGUUGCUUCGGCGGGCCCGCCAUUCAUGGCCGCCGGGGGCUCUCAGCCCCGGGCCCGCGCCCGCCGGAGACACCACGAACUCUGUCUGAUCUAGUGAAGUCUGAGUUGAUUGUAUCGCAAUCAGUUAAAACUUUCAACAAUGGAUCUCUUGGUUCCGGCAUCGAUGAAGAACGCAGCGAAAUGCGAUAACUAGUGUGAAUUGCAGAAUUCCGUGAAUCAUCGAGUCUUUGAACGCACAUUGCGCCCCCUGGUAUUCCGGGGGGCAUGCCUGUCCGAGCGUCAUUGCUGCCCAUCAAGCACGGCUUGUGUGUUGGGUCGUCGUCCCCUCUCCGGGGGGGACGGGCCCCAAAGGCAGCGGCGGCACCGCGUCCGAUCCUCGAGCGUAUGGGGCUUUGUCACCCGCUCUGUAGGCCCGGCCGGCGCUUGCCGAACGCAAAUCAAUCUUUUUCCAGGUUGACCUCGGAUCAGGUAGGGAUACCCGCUGAACUUAAGCAUAUCAAUAAGCG
RNAcentral lists this ribosomal RNA (535 nucleotides) under Aspergillus flavus. RNAcentral describes it as "eukaryotic LSU rRNA". The stretch from base 158 to 311 matches the Rfam family "5.8S ribosomal RNA". The record is from RNAcentral. Lineage: Eukaryota; Fungi; Ascomycota; Eurotiomycetes; Eurotiales; Aspergillaceae.